RNAcentral lists this ribosomal RNA (488 nucleotides) under uncultured bacterium. RNAcentral describes it as "partial 16S ribosomal RNA". It matches the Rfam family "Bacterial small subunit ribosomal RNA", at positions 30 to 507 of the family's 1533-position model. The record is from RNAcentral.
AUUGAACGCUGGCGGCAGGCCUAACACAUGCAAGUCGAACGGUAGCACAGAGAGCUUGCUCUCGGGUGACGAGUGGCGGACGGGUGAGUAAUGUCUGGGAAACUGCCCGAUGGAGGGGGAUAACUACUGGAAACGGUAGCUAAUACCGCAUAAUGUCGCAAGACCAAAGAGGGGGACCUUCGGGCCUCUUGCCAUCGGAUGUGCCCAGAUGGGAUUAGCUUGUUGGUGAGGUAAUGGCUCACCAAGGCGACGAUCCCUAGCUGGUCUGAGAGGAUGACCAGCCACACUGGAACUGAGACACGGUCCAGACUCCUACGGGAGGCAGCAGUGGGGAAUAUUGCACAAUGGGCGCAAGCCUGAUGCAGCCAUGCCGCGUGUGUGUAGAAGGCCUUCGGGUUGUAAAGCACUUUCAGCGGGGAGGAAGGCGAUACGGUUAAUAACCGUGUUGAUUGACGUUACCCGCAGAAGAAGCACCGGCUAACUCCGUG